UUCGUCUUCUCCAAUUCCCCUAAUCAUUCGUGCCUCCUCUGAAGCAAAGCAAAACAUAUAAAAAAACAAAAAAAAAUCAAUCGUUCUUCGUCUUCUCCAAUUUCCUUAAUCAUUCGUGCCCCCUCUGAAGCAAAGCAAUGAAAGUCCCAAACCAAAACGGCAAAACUCGAGCCCUAGGUUCUUUGCCGUCGCCAUUCCCAGGCGCUCAACGCUUCCUGUUCUUCCUCUUCCCCCUGUUC
This 239-nucleotide long non-coding RNA is filed under the name Arachis ipaensis. RNAcentral describes it as "long non-coding RNA (AIPA_LNC002292)". The record is from RNAcentral. Lineage: Eukaryota; Viridiplantae; Streptophyta; Magnoliopsida; Fabales; Fabaceae.